RNAcentral lists this ribosomal RNA (253 nucleotides) under uncultured bacterium. Its description in RNAcentral is "partial 16S ribosomal RNA". It matches the Rfam family "Bacterial small subunit ribosomal RNA", at positions 524 to 776 of the family's 1533-position model. The record is from RNAcentral.
UACGUAGGGUGCGAGCGUUAAUCGGAAUUACUGGGCGUAAAGCGUGCGCAGGCGGUGAUGUAAGACAGUUGUGAAAUCCCCGGGCUCAACCUGGGAACUGCAUCUGUGACUGCAUCGCUGGAGUGCGGCAGAGGGGGAUGGAAUUCCGCGUGUAGCAGUGAAAUGCGUAGAUAUCUGGAGGAACACCGGUGGCGAAGGCGGCAUCCUGGACCAAUUCUGACGCUGAGGAGCGAAAGCCAGGGGAGCAAACGGG